Molecule: ribosomal RNA, 236 nt
Filed under: uncultured bacterium
Lineage: Bacteria
Description: partial 16S ribosomal RNA
Rfam family: Bacterial small subunit ribosomal RNA
Source: RNAcentral
CGGGACGGGUGAGUAACGCGUGGGUAACCUGCCUUGUACUGGGGGACAACAGUUAGAAAUGACUGCUAAUACCGCAUAAGCGCACAGUAUCGCAUGAUACAGUGUGAAAAACUCCGGUGGUACAAGAUGGACCCGCGUCUGAUUAGCUAGUUGGUAAGGUAACGGCUUGCCAAGGCGACGAUCAGUAGCCGACCUGAGAGGGUGACCGGCCACAUUGGGACUGAGACACGGCCCAA